This 1478-nucleotide ribosomal RNA is filed under the name uncultured prokaryote. Its description in RNAcentral is "partial 16S ribosomal RNA". It matches the Rfam family "Bacterial small subunit ribosomal RNA". The record is from RNAcentral.
UUAGGCAUGCAAGUCGCACGAGACAGCUCCCUUCGGGGGGCCAGUAAAGUGGCGAACGGGGGAGUAAUGCAUGAAUGACCUGCCCUCAUGACGGGGACAACUACUCGAAAGGGUAGCUAAUACCCGAUGUCGUCGCGGGACUGCGGUUUCGCGAUCAAAGGUGGCCUCUGUUUCAAGCUGCCGCAUGUGGAGGGGUUCAUGUACUAUUAGCUUGUUGGUGGGGUAACGGCCUACCAAGGCUAUGAUGGUUAGCCGGCCUGAGAGGGUGACCGGCCACACUGGGACUGAGACACUGCCCAGACUCCUACGGGAGGCUGCAGUCGAGAAUCUUCCACCAAUGCGCGAAAGCAUGAUGGAGCGACGCCGCGUGGGGGAUGAAGGCCUUCGGGUUGUAAACUCCUGUCACAUGGUCCUAAAACUACAGGGUUAAUACCCCUUGAGCUUGAAGUGUCGUGAAAGGAAGCACCGGCUAAAUACGUGCCAGCAGCCGCGGUAAUACGUAUGGUGCGAGCGUUGUUCGGAAUCACUGGGCAUAAAGAGCACGCAGGCGGUGACAUUAGUCGGUUGUGAAAUCCCCCGACUCAACCGAGGAACUGCACCCGAUACUGUGUGGCUAGAGUGUGGGAGGGGAGAAUGGAAUUCCUGGUGGAGCGGUGAAAUGCGUAGAUAUCAGGAGGAACGCCGGAGGCGAAAGCGACUCUCUGGUCCAUUACUGACGCUGAGGCGCGAAAGCUAGGGGAGCAAACAGGAUUAGAUACCCUGGUAGUCCUAGCCGUAAACGAUGGGCACUAAGUAGGGGGGCUCCGAAGGCCUCCCUGCCGGAGCUAACGUGUUAAGUGCCCCGCCUGGGGAGUAUGGUCGCAAGGCUAAAACUCAAAGGAAUUGACAGGGGCUCACACAAGCGGUGGAGCAUGUUGUUUAAUUCGAUACAACGCGAAGAACCUUACCUGGGCUGAACUACUAAGUGGUACCAAUCCGAAAGGGGCGGGACCCUCUCUGAGGGAGCGUGCACAGGUAUUGCAUGGCUGUCGUCAGCUCGUGUCGUGAGAUGUUGGGUUAAGUCCCGUAACGAGCGCAACCCUUGUCCUUAGUUACCAGCGGUUCGGCCGGGGACUUUAAGGAGACUGCCGGUGUUAAGCCGGAGGAAGGCGGGGACGACGUCAAGUCAUCAUGGUCCUUACGCCCAGGGCGACAAACGUGCUACAAUGGCCGGUACAGUGGGCAGCAAAACCGCGAGGUGGAGCAAAUCUCAAAAAACCGGCCUAAGUUCAGAUUGGAGGCUGCAAUUCGCCUCCAUGAAGUCGGAAUCGCUAGUAAUCGCGGAUCAGCCAUGCCGCGGUGAAUGUGUUCCUGAGCCUUGUACACACCGCCCGUCAAGCCACCCAAAUAGGCCGCACCCGAAGUCGCAGACCUAACCUUAGGGAAGGAUGCGCCGAAGGUGAGGUUUGUGAGGGGGACUAAGUCGUAACAAGGUAGCC